AUUGAACGCUGGCGGCAGGCCUAACACAUGCAAGUCGAACGAGUGGCGGACGGGUGAGUAAUGUCUGGGAAACUGCCCGAUGGAGGGGGAUAACUACUGGAAACGGUAGCUAAUACCGCAUACCAUCGGAUUUGCCGAGAUGGGAUUAGCUAGUAGGUGGGGUAACGGCUCACGUAGGCGGCGAUCCCGAGCUGGUCGGAGAGGAUGCCCAGCCACAUGGGAACUGAGACACGAGCCCGACUCUGACGGGGGGGAGCAGUGGGAAAUAUUGCACAAGGGGCGCAAGCCGGAUGUAGCCAUACGGAGUGUAUGAAGAAGGCCUUCGGGUUUGAAAGUGCUUUCAGCGAGAGGGCGUUACUCGCAGAAGAAGCCCCGGCUAACUCCGUGCCAGCAGCCGCGGUAAUAC
RNAcentral lists this ribosomal RNA (406 nucleotides) under uncultured bacterium. RNAcentral describes it as "partial 16S ribosomal RNA". It matches the Rfam family "Bacterial small subunit ribosomal RNA", at positions 29 to 526 of the family's 1533-position model. The record is from RNAcentral.